GAUGAACGCUGGCGGCGUGCCUAAUACAUGCAAGUCGAGCGAACGGACGAGAAGCUUGCUUCUCUGAUGUUAGCGGCGGACGGGUGAGUAACACGUGGAUAACCUACCUAUAAGACUGGGAUAACUUCGGGAAACCGGAGCUAAUACCGGAUAAUAUUUUGAACCGCAUGGUUCAAAAGUGAAAGACGGUCUUGCUGUCACUUAUAGAUGGAUCCGCGCUGCAUUAGCUAGUUGGUAAGGUAACGGCUUACCAAGGCAACGAUGCAUAGACGACCUGAGAGGGUGAUCGGCCACACUGGAACUUAGACACGGUCCAGACUCCUACGGGAGGCAGCAGUAGGGAAUCUUCCGCAAUGGGCGAAAGCCUGACGGAGCAACGCCGCGUGAGUGAUGAAGGUCUUCGGAUCGUAAAACUCUGUUAUUAGGGAAGAACAUAUGUGUAAGUAACUGUGCACAUCUUGACGGUACCUAAUCAGAAAGCCACGGCUAACUACGUG
RNAcentral lists this ribosomal RNA (497 nucleotides) under uncultured bacterium. RNAcentral describes it as "partial 16S ribosomal RNA". It matches the Rfam family "Bacterial small subunit ribosomal RNA", at positions 28 to 507 of the family's 1533-position model. The record is from RNAcentral.